CUCAUACGUUUCAUCACCGCUACUUUGUAAAACCCUAGAAAACUCUUCAGAUCUUGAAUCCCAAUCCUAAUCGCCACCCAAAAGUUGCCUGUAAAGAUUGUUGUAAGUUUCUGUAUCCGAUUCGAAGUUCUUGACAUUUGAUUUUGAUAUUGGUUCUGGAAGAGAGCCACCCCUCUUUUGUUUUACGCAUAAAUCCUCCAUUCUAUGUUUUGAUAUGAAGCUAACUCAAUCCACAAUCAAGGUUUCAAAGAAGAAAUUUAUGAUUUCCAUUUCCCCAUCGCAUUCGUCGUUUCAAAUCUCUAAACCUCUGAUUCGUUGAACCCUAAAUCAUUCCUUCAUUCGCCAAACCCUAAAUCCUUCAUUCGCGAAACCCUAAAUCGUUUCGAUUUCCCCAUUGCUGUGUCUCCUCUUCCUUUACCAGUGAACCCUAAAUCCAUCUCCCCAAAUCCUCUCAUCUUCCCCAGCAAUAUUCUGUCAGUAGAUCUAAAUCGGAACUAAUAUUGUAACGACUUGAGGGUUGCCAUGCUAGCGGCUAUGGUUCAUAUUUGAUAGCAAUCGUUGAUUUAGUUUGGUGUUCAGCAAUUGAAAGACUAUCAUCCGACCUUUUGGUUGGAGGGGACUCGAUUUACUUAAAGAAAGCUUUUAGCAACUCAAUGAUAUGCAACUUCAAAGAGACUUGACUAUCUUCAAAUUGUAUAUGCACUUUCUCAGUAAUUUAUGUCUGGAGUGGAAUAGCGGGUUCCUUCAACAUUCGGCACCACCAAAGCUGUCAAGGUAAAGACCCAGAUUACAUAUAAUAUUGGACUUAAAUGUGUGUGUGUGCGCGCGCGUGUUUUAGGUGGCACGCGGUCCAUUUGUGUGUUUGCUGAUGAGUGAUGAGAUGGGAAGCAGUUCGGUUUCUCCGCUAAUCGUGACAGGUGGAAAAGGCGGAGAUGUCGGAGUUCAUGAUCUCCGUUACAUAGCCACACGAAACCAAAAAAACACAAAAAUUCUGAUAACGAUGAACAAAAGUUCAGUGCAUCUUCAACCGCAGGUUUGCAUAAUAAACACAUGGAUCAAAAUGGAAAUGGAAUAUUGUGGUACAUACCAAAAGCUCACUCUGGGAAUGUAACAAGAAUAUCGGCUAUUCCAAAUACGAGUUUUUUCUUAACUGGAAGUAAAGAUAGAGAUGUAAAGCUAUGGGAUGCUAAGAGGGCAACAUUGGUAUAUCACUGGCAAAAAAAUGCACGGUAGACACACCUUCAUUCAACCUAGCUCUAGAGGAUUUGGAGGAGUUGUUAGGUUAAGCUGGUUUAACUUAGAGAUUUACUAUAAUCCACUUGGCCCAUGUCUGUCGGCCCAUCGUCGGCGUCCUGUUUUUGGUGCUGUUCCAACGAUACGAGUAUGUUCUAUGGAAUGAAGUUCUUCAAUGACUUACUAAUGGAAGCUGGCCCGAUCGUAAAUAUACAGUCGGUAGUACUACUACAAAAAGAUUAGAACACAUUCACUUUCAUGCAAGGAUUGUGCAAGGAUUGACUGAGUUGCCUUAACACUCGUCAUAACGCUAAAUCUUUUGGUGUUCAGCAAUUGAAAGACUAUCAUUCGACCUUUUGGUUGGAGGGGACUCGAUUUACUUAAAGAAAGCUUUUAGCAACUCAAUGAUAUGCAACUUCAAAGAGACUUGACUAUCUUCAAAUUGUAUAUGCACUUUCUCAGUAAUUUAUGUAAUAUGCCACUUUGUUUGUAUUUUAUUUUAUUUAAUUUAUACACUUAUGGUUAUGAUCAAAAGUCAUGUGUUAUUUUUAACUUUUAAAUUCUAUUUAUUUUGGAAGCGUCCAGAACCCAAA
Helianthus annuus (common sunflower) is the source of this 1826-nucleotide long non-coding RNA. RefSeq lists it as uncharacterized. NCBI's taxonomy places the organism in Eukaryota, Viridiplantae, Streptophyta, Magnoliopsida, Asterales, Asteraceae. The record is from RefSeq and is a predicted model, not a curated record. The transcript has 7 exons.